CAAAAUACCAUUUUUUAUCCUUUAUCUGUUAAUAUUUAAUAUAUUAAAUAUUAAAAUAAAUUAUUAAUAUAUAUUAAUUAUUAAAAAAAUAUAGAAAAAAUGUAUUUUAUAUAUAGUAUGUUUUUAUAUGAUUUUGGUUUUGUUUUUGGCUUCAAGCUUCGGUUCAAGUUCGGUUUGGAUAUAGACCAAAACUAUAACUGAAAUCUAUUACUAUAUACUAAAGUAGAACCCUUAAUGAACCCUAUGUGAGAAGUUGACACGUAGCGCUCUAUAUGUUUGCCACGUGUCAAGCUCAAAUAUAGAUUUUUUAUUUUAGAAAAAAAAAUAGAUUUUUUAAGAAAAUAAUAUCUUAAUAUCUUUUACUAAAUUAUUAAAAAUCACCUGUAAUGAAAGAAAUUUUAUUUCAAAGUCAUCUAUAAUUAUGUUGAGAUAUUUAAUAAAUUUACGGAUAUUACGUUGCGAAAGAAUUGGCAGUUACAGAAAUUACGCAUGAGAAGGAAAAUAUUUAUUUUUAUUCGGGAAUAAAUUACUACUUAGUUAAUUAUUUGAAAUUAUUAGUUGAAAAUUACUGGACAUAAAAAUAUUAGUAAAAAAUGAUAGAGACAAUUUCCUAAUGUGGCUUUCUAUAUGUUUUCCACAUGUCAUCAUAUCUAUUCUAUUUGCUAUAUUAUUAAAUUCAAAUAAUAGGUGGAUUAAUGAGAUAUUUGAGAAAUUUACGGAUAUUACGUUAUGAAAUAAUUGACUGGUGCGGAUAUUACGCGUGAGAAGGAAAAUAUUUGAGAAACGCGUAGAUAGAAAAUAGGAUAUAAAUGCGAGGGUAAUAUUGUCAUAAAAAUUAACAGAUAUUUUUAUUUUCAAUCAUUAGAUAAGAUCUAAUGGCAAAAAAUUAAUAUCUUUUACUAUAUUAUUAAAAAUCACCUAUAAU
RNAcentral lists this long non-coding RNA (925 nucleotides) under Ananas comosus (pineapple). RNAcentral describes it as "long non-coding RNA (ACOM_LNC030422)". The record is from RNAcentral. Lineage: Eukaryota; Viridiplantae; Streptophyta; Magnoliopsida; Poales; Bromeliaceae.